UCUAACUUAAACGGCUGAUCACAGUUAGGUGCCAUUAAGACAGGAGCAUUGCACAUCAAAGUUUUAACUGAAUCAAAAGCAUGUUGACACUCAAUUGACCACUCAUAAGCAUUAGAUGGACUAAGCAGUGAAGUAAGAGGACUCACAACGGUCGAGAAAUUCUUACAGAACCCACGAUAGUAGCCUGCCAUUCCUAGGAACCUCCGCAAUUCUCUACGAGUAGUAGGAAUUGGAAAUUCAACUAUGGCAGUUACUUUAGCUUCCACGGGUCUCACUUGACCUUGACCAACCUCCUUACCUAGACUGAUGUGUUCUGACCAACUUCGAGAAUACAAAACCAGAUCGUCAAGAUAGGCAUUACAGUCUGGCACACCAUGUAAAACUAUAUUAACAAGGCGUUGAAAAGUUGCGGGAGCAUUUCGAAGACCGAAAGCCAUCGACGUGUACUGAAGAAAAUUGUCUGGAGUGACAAAUGCUGAGAUUUCUGAAGCUCUGGAGGUAACGGGUAACUAUCUGGUACAGUCACUGAAUUGACUUUUCGAUAGUCUGUGCAAAAUCUAACUGAACCAUCAGGUUUGGGAACAAGUAAACAUGGAGAACUCCACGGACUGUAA
Pimephales promelas (fathead minnow) is the source of this 614-nucleotide non-coding RNA. NCBI's taxonomy places the organism in Eukaryota, Metazoa, Chordata, Actinopteri, Cypriniformes, Leuciscidae. The record is from RefSeq and is a predicted model, not a curated record.